RNAcentral lists this transfer RNA (90 nucleotides) under Ameiurus melas (black bullhead). It matches the Rfam family "tRNA". From Rfam's summary of the family: Transfer RNA (tRNA) molecules are approximately 80 nucleotides in length. Their secondary structure includes four short double-helical elements and three loops (D, anti-codon, and T loops). The record is from Rfam by way of RNAcentral. Lineage: Eukaryota; Metazoa; Chordata; Actinopteri; Siluriformes; Ictaluridae.
GGCUCUGUGGCGCAAUGGACAGCGCAUUGGACUUCUUGGUUCAACAUUGGAGCUAUUCAAAGGUUGUGUGUUCAAGUCUCUCCAGAGUCA